AUACCAUUCCCUAAGUUAUAAAAGUCUAUGGGAGGCAUAAUUUUGCAGUAUGGGGAACCAAGAGUUUUCUUUUGAACAUAUAUUCUUUGAUAUGUAUGUUAGGUAAGCAGGUAGCUAUGUGAAGUAGGCUUCUGGAUACAUGAUCCUGGACUUCUGGAAAGGGAUGAGUGUGGGAGACAUGUACAUGGGAGUCUCUGGCUUGCAUAGAGUACUUAAAGCCCUGGGCCCCUAACUGUAAAGGUCUCUUCAGCAAAGUAGCUCAGGGUAGCCAGAAAACCACAGCAUACUUGGCAGGAACACUCAUUAUGUCCUCAAAGUGGCUUGAGUUGCUGGUUGCUCCCUAGGUUUGGCAGAAAGGUUGAAAGCAAAAACAGUCUUCACUGAGAAUUCCCUGUAGCACAAUAUCAGAUUUAAAAACUAGCAGGGUACACUCUGCUGUAGACAUAGACUAAGCACAGACUCAACCACUACAAGUCCUAAAGAAAUUAAAAUGAGCUUUUGGAUUUGUCAAAACACAUUAACAAUAUCAAACGUUUAGAUAUGAGCAAGUAGGAUCUGAUGACUAUUUUCUCCUAUCCUAGAAAAGAAAACACACAUCAACAGGCCACACCCUGGAGAUUUGAUGCACUGAAGCUUUCAGAAGUCUUGCAUGCUGUUUCCACUGGAGAACUGAUUGUGUCACAUUGCCAUGAUUCAUCCAGUGUCUGCCUUCCCUUAUACUCUGGGCAGAGAUGAACCCUUCUUUGCCAUCUCUCCAGCCGCAUAAAGUCACUGAAGCAUUAUAUUGGCUCAGUCAUUGUGGGUUGAUGAAUCCAGUGAGCACUUGAGAAGGUCCAUUUUCAAAAUAUCUCACAGGACAACUUGAUGGAAAAUAAAAAUAAUUCUUUUGUGAAAUUUCAUUUCUAUAAGCAGCAAUGAGUCUUCAUAUUUGUUGAGUACUUAUUUUCCUGUCACCAACAUUUGCUGCAAUUCCCUUUCUAUAAGAUCAAAGGACCAUAUAUAUAUAAUAAAUGAUCAUAGGGUGUUUGUUUGUUUUGAGUUGGAGUCUUGCUCUGUUGCCCAAGCUGGAGUGCAGUGGCAUGAUCUCGGCUCACUGCAACCUCCGCCUCCUGGGUUCAAGUGAUUCUCCUGCCUCAGCUGCCCAGGUAGAUGUGAUUACAGGUGCCCGCCACUACACUCGGCUAAUUUUUGUAUUUUUAGGAGAGACAGGGUUUCACCAUGUUGGCCAGGCUGGUCUCAAACUCCUGACCUCAAGUGAUCCCCCCUCCUCAACCUCCCAAACUGCUGGGAUUACCGGUGUAAGCUUGGCCUGAUCAUACUGUUUAAUUUUUUAAAGCCUAAUUGUAUAAAGCCCUGCUUUCAUUCUAGCCACUUGGAUCAAGUCAACUACUAUUUGUGACUAAAUCCAGUGAUGCUUUUUGACUUCCAUUUUACUGCCUGAUACAGUUUGGCUAUGUCCAAAGGGGGCAAUAGCAGAAAAAAAGAAGCAAACACUUCUAAGACUUCAAAUUGUGAAGCAUUACGUUUGAUCCUGCAACCUACAUUAGCUCAUGAUAUUACUACAAGAAAUCCCUAGGGGCUAACCAUACACCUCUGGUCCAGGAGAGAGAGAAGUUGAAAAAGAAACCAGAGGAAGCUGGAGCAGCUUCCAGUCCAACUAUUGCCCCAUGCUGACAAAGUGAGCAAACAGGUAAGUGACAUCCUUUGUCAUCUACAAAAUGGUGUUGGUACCAUUAAAAUAUUGCUCAAGAAUCUCUGCUGUGGCCCACGCUGUCCAGAAACGUGCUAGAAAAGGAAUUCUGGGAAAUGUAGUUCAGCUGAGCCAAGCUGACACAUUGUAAAGCCACCAUGAUGUAUUUGUGAUAACAGGGGUGUGGUUUGGUCCUAAAUAUCUUAACCAGACCACAUUGGAAUCCCAUAAACUUGAUGUCCUGGUAGCUCUUCCUGAAUCCUGAAUUAAGUCCUGAAUACUUUUACUUUGUGUUGUAAAUGGUUUCUUUUGUUUUUCAGCCCUGUUUCCAAUGUCCCUGGCUCCUGUCUGCUGCCUAGAACAUUGCACAUAAACUGUUCUAUUUCUCUUCUGGUGUUCAUCUCAUUUUUCCUGUUAAGUUCCCAUUUGCUCUGGGAGAUAGUGGUUUGGGACUAUUAUUAUUACUGUUGUUAUUGUUAUUGUUAGAGGGGUUGGUUCCUGAGAGACGUUUAUAACCAACUCUGUAUGAUGCUGUUUGCUUUCUCUUCCCAUUCCAUGAAAUAGAGAAAUCCAGCAAGGAGAGAAUGCAGUGUCGCUCCAGGGGACCAGUUUAUACAGAGGAGUACAAAUCCCACUUGUACUUCACAGAGGAACAAGUUUAAGAUACGGCUUUUGUAAACAGACCCUUGGAUCUCAGUAAGGGGAUUUGAAAAGUCAAACAUGCUGGGGCCAUGACUAUAAAAGUAAAAUUACAAGGCUCAGGACCCUUUCCAGAGACAGGCUUAUUUCAAACAUUGCUAUCUUGUAGGUGUUAUUCUUAGCAGAACACGGGUUCGUGUCAGCUUUCCUUUUAACAUCCAGCUGGGAUGGGAGUCAUGCAAUAGCUUCAUUAGGCUGCUGAGGAGUUCAUUACCACAAAGUCCUGAUUUUUCCUCAAGUCUUAGCAUGACCUCUGAACCCACCCCUUUCUCUCAUACAUUUCUUUGUGGAUUUGUUUAUGUAGUCAGUAAAAAUGAAUCAGGUGCUUUACUGUGCCAGGCAUUGUGCUGGUCCAGAGAAUGCAAAGAUGGAUAAGACAGAGCCAUCAUCUUCAAGGACUUACAAAUAAGAUAGACAGAAGGUAAUCCAACACACUUACUGUGCUACAGAGGCUACAACAGAAGUCUGGAUGAGGGAACCAUGGGAACACACAACAGGGAAAGAAUAAUUCCCCAGAGAUGAAGAAGGGUGUAGUUCAGCCUUCAUCGAGGAGGUGGACUAUAGGCAAACACCUAAUGAUUGGACAACCUUAUUGAAUCAGACAGAUCUCAUACUCUGAAGCCUUCUGAUUAGGAGUUUGGGGUUCUGUCCUUGUGCUCUCAAAUCUAUGGCGAUGCGAUAUACCUAUGUUUUCACAACUGCCUUUUCUCAUUACCCUCUACUACUCUUCUGCCUGAACUUAGUAACGUUAUAGGAAGGGCAGCUCAGCAAAGUGCCUGUGUUCAAAUCCUAACCCUACCAUUUACUACCAAGUUACCCUGAAAAUGUAUUUUAACUUCUUUGUGCUUUGAUUUCUUCAGAUGAAAAAAUCAACCGGGCGUAGUGGCUCAUGCCUGUAAUCCCAGCACUUUGGGAGGCCAAGGCGGGUGGAUCACGUGAGGCAAGGAGUUUGAGACCAGCCUGGCCAAUGUGGUAAAACCUGGUCUCUACUAAAAAUAUAAAAAUUAGCCAGGCGUGGUGGCAUGCAUCUGUAAUCCCAGCUACUCAGGAGGCUGAGGCACAAGAAUCUCUUUAAUCAGGGCAGCAGAGGUUGCAGUGAGCCGAGAUCAUGCCGCUGCACUCCAGCCUGGGAAGUAGAGUGAGACUCUGUCUCAAAAACAAUAAAGAAAGAAAAUAAAAGACGGUGCCUACCUUAUAAGGUUGUUGAGAGGAUGCAUGAAAGGUAAAUGCAAGCACUUAGAAUAUCAAUGGCAUCAAGCAAGCACUGUAGAAAUGUUUAUUAUUCAUAACACAUUUUCCUCUUAAAUUUCAUGUAGAAACAAAAGCCAUAUUUUAGAAUUAAACUUUCUACUAUUCUCUUACUUCCAAAAUUGGAAAAUUUCUAAGAAGUAUUCUGAUUUGGGGCAAGUCACAUGGUAUCUUAGGGCUCAGUUUACCCACCUGUAUAAAUUAUUAACUCAAAGAGUACCUGCUAUGUGUCAGGUAUUCUUUAAACUCUUCAUAAACACCAUCUCAUUUUAUUCUCACAACCUCCCUCAAUGAAGUGAAUUCUGUGUUUACCCAUGUUUAUUUUUUAUUUAGUUAUUUAUUUUGCAAAUGAAAAAAAUGCGAUAUAGGUUUCUAUCUCCAGAGACGAUGAAUUUAACCACUCCACUACCCUCUUUCUGGGAGAGCUAGACUCUGUCUUUUUUUUUUUUUUUAAAUCCUACUUAAGGGGUUCUGUAUGUAAUGAUUUAUAUCUAAUUUACACCAUAAUGGCUUACAUUAUUCAAUCAUCAGAACAUCAUCCCCCUUACACACAAAUGUUGGUAUUUUUGUCCUGUUUUAUAGAUCUGUAAACUAAGACAGGUUAAGCUGGCUCUCUGUAACAAAGUUAAUGACUGAGAGAUACCAUGUUUGCACCUCGGCUUGUCUCAGUGCAACACUAGCAUCUUCAUCCACUGACUUGUACUAUUUAUCUGCAGGUAGGGGACAGUGUAGGGGGAGUGAUCAUAUGCACACACAUCUCCAAACAAUUCUGCCAAUAAUCUCAGGAGACUUACAAGUCCUCCAAAGGCCAUUUGUAGUACCAGUUAUGCUAUCAUGGAGUCCCCUAUAAUGUGCUUUAAUUUCAACUGUUAUAUAACUUUAGCCAAAGAACUUUUGUUAAGCUUUACUCUACUGAUUUUGCUAGGAAAGCAAAAGGCAUAUUGGUGAUGAUAUCUUCAAAGUUAGCCCAGCUUUCUUUAAGAGAUAAGCCCCAAAGCUCAUCAUUCCCAGUCCUUCCCUAAUAUUGCUGAUCUCUAGUCAAUCUGUUUAGGUUUACAGCCCUUGGACUAGAUGAAAUCUAAAGGUGUUUUAGACCAUAAAUUUUUGUUUCUCGAACUAUAGGAUUCCUCCAUGUCUAGUGCAUUAAUCCUCCACCUUAGCUGUACCAUGUUUACAUCCAAAGAAGACCUCCUUCCUAUAUUUUUAACUUUAGAUCAGGGGUGUCAGUCUACAGCCCACAGGCUAAAUCUGAUCUGCUGCUGUUACAUUUUUGCUUUUUCUUUUUUAAAUAAAGGAUUAUCAUAUUGAAAAACAGUCACUCUCAUUUGUUUAUGUAUUGUCUAUUGGUGUUUUCAUGCUAC
This 4998-nucleotide long non-coding RNA is filed under the name Homo sapiens (human). Its description in RNAcentral is "HSALNT0143888". The record is from RNAcentral. Lineage: Eukaryota; Metazoa; Chordata; Mammalia; Primates; Hominidae.